AGAGUUUGAUCCUGGCUCAGGACGAACGCUGGCGGCACGCUUAACACAUGCAAGUCGAACGAGAGAAGAGGAGCUUGCUUUUCUGAUCUAGUGGCGGACGGGUGAGUAACACGUGAGCAAUCUGCCUUUCAGAGGGGGAUACCGAUUGGAAGCGAUCGUUAAUACCGCAUAACAUAAUUGAACCGCAUGAUUUGAUUAUCAAAGAUUUAUCGCUGAAAGAUGAGCUCGCGUCUGAUUAGCUAGUUGGUAAGGUAACGGCUUACCAAGGCGACGAUCAGUAGCCGGACUGAGAGGUUGAUCGGCCACAUUGGGACUGAGACACGGCCCAGACUCCUACGGGAGGCAGCAGUGGGGAAUAUUGCACAAUGGAGGAAACUCUGAUGCAGCGAUGCCGCGUGAGGGAAGAAGGUUUUAGGAUUGUAAACCUCUGUCUUCAGGGACGAAAAAAGACGGUACCUGAGGAGGAAGCUCCGGCUAACUACGUGCCAGCAGCCGCGGUAAUACGUAGGGAGCGAGCGUUGUCCGGAAUUACUGGGUGUAAAGGGAGCGUAGGCGGGAUCGCAAGUCAGAUGUGAAAACUAUGGGCUUAACCCAUAAACUGCAUUUGAAACUGUGGUUCUUGAGUGAAGUAGAGGUAAGCGGAAUUCCUAGUGUAGCGGUGAAAUGCGUAGAUAUUAGGAGGGACAUCAGUGGCGAAGGCGGCUUACUGGGCUUUAACUGACGCUGAGGCUCGAAAGCGUGGGGAGCAAACAGGAUUAGAUACCCUGGUAGUCCACGCCGUAAACGAUGAUUACUAGGUGUGGGGGGACUGACCCCUUCCGUGCCGCAGCAAACGCAAUAAGUAAUCCACCUGGGGAGUACGACCGCAAGGUUGAAACUCAAAGGAAUUGACGGGGGCCCGCACAAGCAGUGGAGUACGUGGAUUAAUUCGAAGCAACGCGAAGAACCUUACCAGGUCUUGACAUCGUAUGCAUAGCUCAGAGAUGAGUGAAAUCUCUUCGGAGACAUAUAGACAGGUGGUGCAUGGUUGUCGUCAGCUCGUGUCGUGAGAUGUUGGGUUAAGUCCCGCAACGAGCGCAACCCUUACUGUUAGUUGCUACGCAAGAGCACUCUAGCAGGACUGCCGUUGACAAAACGGAGGAAGGUGGGGAUGACGUCAAAUCAUCAUGCCCCUUAUGACCUGGGCCUCACACAUACUACAAUGGCUGUCAACAGAGGGAAGCAAAGCCGCGAGGUGGAGCGAACCCCUAAAAGCAGUCUUAGUUCGGAUUGUAGGCUGCAACCCGCCUACAUGAAGUCGGAAUUGCUAGUAAUCGCAGAUCAGCAUGCUGCGGUGAAUACGUUCCCGGGCCUUGUACACACCGCCCGUCACGCCAUGGGAGUCGGUAACACCCGAAGCCUGUAGUCUAACCGCAAGGAGGACGCAGUCGAAGGUGGGAUUGAUGACUGGGGUGAAGUCGUAACAAGGUA
RNAcentral lists this ribosomal RNA (1470 nucleotides) under metagenome. Its description in RNAcentral is "bacterial SSU rRNA". It matches the Rfam family "Bacterial small subunit ribosomal RNA". The record is from RNAcentral.